Esox lucius (northern pike) is the source of this 638-nucleotide long non-coding RNA. NCBI's taxonomy places the organism in Eukaryota, Metazoa, Chordata, Actinopteri, Esociformes, Esocidae. The record is from Ensembl.
CUGCCAGAUUUACCCAUCAUGCCUCUCUAAUCCUCUCCCGGUCCUGCUACUGAGGGAGAGCAAAUAAUGGAGGCCCAUCGUGAAGCCCUGUCGAAGACGGAGGAAAACCUCAGACAAGAGCUGGCUCUUAAGCUGGAGGCUGCUCUAAAGGAGCAAAGGUCCCAGAAUGCAGCGCACCUGAAGGAACGGGAGGAGGAGCUAAAGAGGGAGGCGGAGCUAGUGCUGGUGAUUGACAGGGAGAAGAGUUGGGAGAUGUUGCUGCAGUGCCAGAGAGAGAAGGAGCAGUUGCAGAAUAAGGUGGUAUUGCUUCAGGACACAGUUAGGAGGGAGUGUGAGGAGAGAGGGGAGCUGAUUACUGCUCUUACCCACGCUAGAGAGCAGCUCCUGGGCUUACGACGACCAGCCUCCCGUCCAAGUCUCCCCGACCUCCAGGGAAAACCCAUGAGACUGCCCCUCAACCGCUCCUUCACCCCUCAGCCCGCACUGAGACCCUCCCCUCCUCCCCCAGUCAACGGGAGGCCAGAAGGGGGAGGCAGGGGUGAGAGGAGCGCUGCGUCUUGGCAUGCAGGAGGCGGGUCGGGAAGGAGAAGGGGGGGGGGGGGAGGCGGCAGCCUGCCCAAACUGAAGUCCAGUGCUGU